AGUUGGUACAGUUAUGGCACUUGGUACUACAGUCUUAACAGUUAGAGCAGCAGGUACGUUGUGUUGUGCUGCUGUCUGCCUCAGAGUUAGGUAGUCUGUAACAGUUUAAUCUAUGUAAGGCUGAAUUGUAUGUAAGGUGGGAUAUAAAUGCUGUAGAUAAAUAAAUAAAUACUGAGUGAUGUAUGGAAGUGAGAGCUGGACCAUAAAGAAGGCUGAUCGCCGAAGAAUUGAUGCUUUUGAAUUAUGGUGCUGGAGGAGACUCUUGAGAGUCCCAUGGACUGCAAGAAGAUCAAACCUCUCCAUUCUGAAGGAAAUCAGCCCUGAGUGCUCACUGGAAGGACAGAUCCUGAAGCUGAGGCUCCAAUACUUUGGCCACCUCAUGAGAAGAGAAGACUCCCUGGAAAAGACCCUGAUGGUGGGAAAGAUGGAGGGCACAAGGAGAAGGGGACGGCAGAGGACGAGAUGGUUCAACAGUGACCAACAUGAGUUUGACUAAACUGCGGGAGGCAGUGGAAGACAGGAACCUAUUUCAGGAAAUUUGGGGCUUUAAACAUUAUUACUGGCUCUUUAAAUUGAGCUUGGAAGCAAAUUGGCAACCAACACAAUUAUUAUAGGGCAGAUGUAAUGUGCUCUGGACCAUCAUGGUCCCAUCACCAUCUGGUGAACAGCCAUGCAUUGUAUCUGAGCUGUCUUUAAAGGCAGCUCCACAGAGAGAGCAUUGCAGCAGUCCAGACUGGAUUAUGCAUGAGGCCAGAUCUGCCAGAGGGUCCCUUGGCAUCCCCCCUGUUGUCGAAUGAACAAUAUUGAUUGUUCAUCCUGUGUUGCUUUUUUGUAUGUUAUGGAUCAGCAUAGCUCUGGCUGCAACGUUACACAAGUGCCUCAACUUUUUCUCCAUCCCUCGAGGAAUGUUGAGGACAGAAACGUCAAAACUGUGCCAAAGGCAGCCUUGCGUCUACUUUGAAUUUUGUGCGUUUGCUGUAGUACGUAGUUGUUGUGUUUUGUUUCUCCUCCCUUCACAGUUAUUUUGCAGGAUGGGGCGUGCGUUGGCUUCAGAGAACUCAGUGGAAAGAACAUGAGAAACCAAUAACCACAAAAAUAACACUUGGGUGAGGCUGAGCCGGCCCGAGAUUCGCGAUGACAUGUCAGUUUAAACCAUGGAGUUUUCUGUCAUGUUGAUUUUAUUUGGGUGUUCUUUUUACCCUUAAGAAAACAACAACAGCCCUACUUGGCAGGUGUAUACUGUGAAGAAUGCAAACAUAAUAAAGUGUCUUUGAUAUUCUCAC
Molecule: non-coding RNA, 1283 nt
Organism: Podarcis lilfordi (Lilford's wall lizard)
Lineage: Eukaryota; Metazoa; Chordata; Lepidosauria; Squamata; Lacertidae
Source: the annotation of a GenBank genome assembly